ACACCAUGUUUAAUUACGUCAUGGAAGUAUCACAAGAAUGCUUAAAUUCAUCUUCAAUAAUCUUCAACACAUUCGAUGAGUUCGAUAAAGAAGUGCUACAAGUAAUUGCUUCCAAGUCCCCUAAUAUUUAUGCAAUUGGUCCACUCACCUCCCUAAGUAGGAACCUACAUAACUCACUAAAUUCAAGCCUAUGGAAGGAGGAUACAAGUUGCAUCGAAUGGCUUAACACAAUGAAACCCAAGUCGGUGGUGUAUGUGAAUUAUGGGAGUGUAACAGUGAUGUCGAACCAUCAUUUGGAAGAAUUUGCUUGGGGACUUGCAAAUAGUAAAUACCCGUUUUUAUGGGUAGUUAGGCCUGACGUUGUGAUGGGAGAAUCGGCUGUUUUUCCAAGAGAAUUCAUGGAGGCAAUAAAAGGAAGGGGCCUCAUAACAAGCUGGUGUCCCCAACAACAAGUGUUGUCCCACCCAGCGGUUGGCGUUUUCUUGACACACUGCGGAUGGAAUUCUUUGUUGGAAGCUGUAUCCGAAGGUGUGCCUUUAAUUUGUUGGCCUUUUUUUGGUGAUCAACAAACGAAUUGUCGAUAUUCGUGCACCACAUGGGACAAUGGAAUGGAAAUCAACCCUGACGUAAAGCGUAAGGAUGUGGAGGCUCUUAUUAAAGAGAUAAUGGCAGGAGAUAAUGGGCAAAGGAUAAGACAAAAGGCAUUGGAAUGGAAGAAAAAAGCUAAAUCUGCCAUUAGCGUUGGAGGAUCUUCUAUUACCAACUUUGAUAGAAUGAUCAAGGAGGCCCUACGUCAAGGUUGAACAUUAAAAUCAGAAUACUGUUGUGUUGUAUGUUUUGUGUAUGUUUUUCUUAAUUUUAUAUUACAUUAUUAAAUAAAUGGGUUAGCAUUUGAUAAAUCAAUAUUAUACUUUUUUUAAUUCCACAAGUAAACUUAAAAAAAUUGUUAUGUAUUUGGUUUAUUUUAUAAAUUUAUUUUUUAAUAUUUUACUAUAGGUUAUAGGAUACUUAUCAUUACUCUAAACCUACUUCUAAAGUCCAACAACCCAAUUAACCCUGUACAAAAUAUCUCCUUAAAUAUAAAUACAAAAUAAAUUAUCAAAUGUCAAGAUGAAUCCAAAAAAAUUAAAUUUCUUAAAGUCUCAUGCCCAAAAUCUCAUUACCAAAUAUCAUAAUUUAAAUACAAGACAUUUCACCUUCUAUAACUAUUGUUAGGAAAAUCAAGGAAAUAUCUUGUCAGGUUCUAACAGUCAAGUUCCAAUUCGUGAAUAGGGAACGGAAUAAGGUUGCUAAUUGACUAGUCAAAUAAUGUCUUCCUAAUAUGUCAAUUUAUUUAUGUUGAUGUUCUUACACCUUAUGUGAGGAGACUAUUUUUAGAAGACAUAUUAGGUGAUUCUCAUGUAUAAAUAAUUUGAUUUAAAAUAUUGUAUUGCUUUCUCUUAUCUAUAAAAAGAAUAUAAGACAUUUAAUAAAUAUAUCAUUCUAUAUUAAACAUAUUAUAAUGUUUAUUGAAAAGUAUUAUUUUUUAAUAUAAUGUGCCAAAUUGUAGAUCAUAAUGGGAUUUCCUUUGUCGUUUCACCUGUUACUUUUAUUGCCUCACUUUUAUUUUUUAUUUGUCUUCUUUUUCUUUGUUUUUCUUUUGGGUCAAAGAAGAAACCAAACAUCAUAAAGUUCUCUGUAGAGAGAAAAACAGAUACAAAAAAAUAUAUAUAAUAAAUCUAUUGUAUUAUAUUAAAUGUAUUGAAUUUGUUGGGAAGGCGAUCUUAGCCCUUGGAGAGAGGUUUUAAAGUGUUAUUUAUCGGAUAAUUAACUGAAAUUUUAACAAUAGUAAAUAUUAUUUUUGUGCAGUAGUUUUGUUUUUUUCUCCUCCGAGACUCUUGAAAAAUACAAGAGUGAACACCUCAAAUUGGUAGAGAUACAACUUGUUUGUAGUUUGAGUCCUCCAACUCUCAAGUAUAUUUUAUAAUUAAUAUUACGCAUUGAUAAUUAUCCCGUGAGCAUUGCAAGUUGUAUUUUCACCAAAUGGGGUGUUCUCCUUUUAUAAACUCUUUAGGAUCUUUGAUAGAGGCGAAAGACGAAACCUUACUGAGAAUAUUACUAACCAUUAUUGAAAAUUUAACUAUAUAUGCCUAACAAGUGAUACUUGGAAUACUUUUUUCGAAAAAGUUAAAAAGGUUGUUCAACAAUAUUGAAUUUAAAGAUACUCUAUAAUAGGAUGAAAAAUAAUAGUUAUAAUGUUUUUAUCUAUAUUGUUUUUAUCCCUCAACAAAUUAUAUGUAUUUCACCACGUAGGGAGGUUUGAUAAUGGGUAGCUCAUGAACUUGCAAGGGUUGGAAUGGGUAUGGAAGGGACUCUCUGUUGAGCUCCAUUUUGCUUUUGGUAAUAGCAACACAUUGUUUGAUGUAACGUUUUACCAAUAUUAAUGAAUUUAUUUCUUUUAAUAGUAAUAAGGCUAAAUUACACUAGUAAUCACUUAAGUAAUAGUAAAUUUUUUGUCAUUCAAUUAUAAAAAGUUACAAAAUUAACAUGAUAACAACUUUAAUCCUCAACAUUUAUAAAUUAUGUCCAUUUAGUCUUUAUUUUAAAAAAAUUUAACCCUAAACAACACAUUGUGUAAUUUGAUCUCUUUUUUAUUAAUUUUUUGUAAUUUUGUGACAUUAAGGUUUAAUUUUAAAAUAAUAAGAUUGUUGUAACAAGUAUUACACACAUACAUAUAUUUCCAUCGAGGUUAUAACUUUUUAAUGAGUUUCUUAUUUGCUCGUUUAUGAAUUUAUGAACCUUUAUGUAUUAGCAUAAGUAAAUUUUAAGACAAAAAAAAAAAGGUAAAAAGACCGCUCCAGUCAUCAAUUUCAAUAUUGAGUAAAUUGGUCUCUUUAAAAAAAUUGAAGCAAUUUAAUCAUUGUGAAUUUCAAAAGUAAACAACUAAGGAUAAUUUAAAAUUUUUUAUUGCCAAUACGAGAAGGGAUUGUAUGAACUGUGAUUUCCUUAUAUUUAUCUAAUUGCAUAAUGAUAAAUUAGAUUUUUUCUCUUGAUUUUUAAUUUUUUUCUUCCUAAUAAAAAUCAAAUCCAAUUAAAAAUGCUAAAAAUCAAGAAAAAAAAUCUAAUUUAUAAUUCUCCUAUUGAAAAGAGAUAAAGAUGACAUGAAAUCACAAUUUUAUAUUAUCCUUCCUCUUGCCAAUGCAGUAACCUAUCAAAAUUCUUGAGAAGCAGCUGAUAUUUUCUCAGCCUCGUCCAUGACAAUUAUUUUACACCACAAUUGCCAACAGCGUUAUCCUGUUUUUCUUUAUCCCCUCCACAAGUUAGGAAGGAAUACUCAUAUAUAGUAUCUUCAAUUUUCACCGCCUACUUGACUUCAUUGCUUAGUUAAUAUUUGCAGAAAGAUGAGUUCAAUUAAAUCGCAUGCAGUAUGUCUUCCAUUCCCAGCACAAGGUCAUGUUAACCCCAUGAUGCAACUGGCCAAGCUCUUGCACUCUAGAGGCUUCCAUAUAACCUUUGUCAACACCGACUUCAAUCAUAGACGGUUGAUACGGUCUAGAGGGGAAGAAGCUGUUAAGGGUCUGCCUGAUUUCCGGUACGAAGCCAUACCCGAUGGGCUGCCACCUUCCGAUUCCGAUGCGACUCAGUGCGUUCCAGCAAUAUGCGAUUCCACACGAAAAAAUUGUUUGGCUCCAUUCUUGGAGCUACUAUCUAAGCUUAAUUCCUCACCCCAACUGCCCCCUGUUACUUGCAUAGUUUGUGAUGGAAUCAUGAACUGUGGUACCAAGGCAGCUCAACUCAUUGGGGUGCCUUAUGUUCAACUCUGGACUUCUUCAACCGUUAGCUUUCUGGGAUUUCUGCACUACAAAGAACUAGCUCAAAGAGGCAUUGUUCCAUUCAAAGGUUAAAAAUUUUAUGUUUUCUUUGUGCUUUAUGUUCAUUCAUAAUAAUCUCUUUGAGGUUCUAUGUGUUACACGCACGUCCAUACAUAUUCUUUUGCAUAUUGAAACAAAAAUAUGCUUUUUAUUUUCCUUGUAGAUGAAGGCUUUGUUAGUGAUGGGACACUUGAGAUGCCCAUUGAUUGGAUCCCUGGUAUGCCUAACAUGCGCCUCAAGGACCUUCCAAGCUUUAUAAGAACCACCGAUCCCGACGACAUCAUGUGGAAUUAUGCCAUGGAAGUAUCACAAGAAUGCUUAAAAUCUUCUUCAAUAAUCUUUAACACAUUCGAUGAGUUCGAGAAAGAAGUGCUACAAGUAAUUGCUUCCAAGUCCCCUAAUAUUUAUGCAAUUGGUCCACUCACCUCCCUAAGUAGGAACCUACAUAACUCACUAAAUUCAAGCCUAUGGAAGGAGGAUACAAGUUGCAUCGAAUGGCUUAACACAAUGAAACCCAAGUCGGUGGUGUAUGUGAAUUAUGGGAGUGUAACAGUGAUGUCGAACCAUCAUUUGGAAGAAUUUGCUUGGGGACUUGCAAAUAGUAAACACCCGUUUUUAUGGGUAGUUAGG
This 4481-nucleotide long non-coding RNA is filed under the name Gossypium barbadense (sea-island cotton). Its description in RNAcentral is "long non-coding RNA (GBAR_LNC014686)". The record is from RNAcentral. Lineage: Eukaryota; Viridiplantae; Streptophyta; Magnoliopsida; Malvales; Malvaceae.